GACAUACUCUCUUCGUCCCAAAAUUCUUGUCUUAAAUUUGUCUAAAUAUAAAUGUAUCUAAUUGUCUAAAUAUGAAUGUAUCUAGUUACAUUUUAGUGUUAGAUACAUCUGUAUGUAGACAAAUCUAAGACAAGAGUUUUGGGACGGAGGGAGUACAUC
This is a non-coding RNA of Triticum aestivum (bread wheat), 159 nucleotides long. NCBI's taxonomy places the organism in Eukaryota, Viridiplantae, Streptophyta, Magnoliopsida, Poales, Poaceae. The record is from Rfam.